UACAGAGGGUGCAAGCGUUAAUCGGAAUUACUGGGCGUAAAGGGUGUGUAGGUGGCGAAGUAAGUUAGGUGUGAAAUCCUCGGGCUUAACCUGAGAAUUGCGCUUAAUACUGCAUUGCUAGAGUACUAUAGAGGGUAGUGGAAUUUCCAGUGUAGCGGUGAAAUGCGUAGAUAUUGGAAGGAACACCAGUGGCGAAGGCGACUACCUGGAUAGAUACUGACACUGAGACACGAGAGCGUGGGUAG
Molecule: ribosomal RNA, 245 nt
Filed under: uncultured bacterium
Lineage: Bacteria
Description: partial 16S ribosomal RNA
Rfam family: Bacterial small subunit ribosomal RNA
Source: RNAcentral